AUAUAAGGUUAGUGUGUCAAUGGACGAACCGGUAUAUCAAUAGUUAAAUACGUGGACUAAUAUUAAUAAAAGGAGUGCUAACAAUACCAACUCUAACACUCUUUUAUUGGGUGAAACUCGUCUAAGUCCCACUAUUUUGAGUCUUUUGUCUGUCUCCUUUCCAAGAACUCAAGAGCUUGUUGCGACCAAAACACAGUUCCAAAUAUCAUAACUGCUUCCUAAUGCAUAACUAGAGCUAAAUAAUAUAAAACUGUCUAAUUAGCUCAGACCA
RNAcentral lists this long non-coding RNA (271 nucleotides) under Lathyrus oleraceus (garden pea). Its description in RNAcentral is "Pisum sativum (pea) long non-coding RNA (PSAT_LNC034616)". The record is from RNAcentral. Lineage: Eukaryota; Viridiplantae; Streptophyta; Magnoliopsida; Fabales; Fabaceae.